GGGCCCGCACAAGCGGUGGAGCAUGUGGUUUAAUUCGAUGCAACGCGAAGAACCUUACCAAGGCUUGACAUACUACAGAUUUCUUUGAAAAAGGAAAGUGCCUUCGGGAAUGUAGAUACAGGUGGUGCAUGGCUGUCGUCAGCUCGUGUCGUGAGAUGUUGGUUAAGUCCCGCAACGAGCGCAACCCUUAUUUUAGUUGCUAAUUUAGUUUAGGUUUCUAGAAAGACUGCCGGUGACAAACCGGAGGAAGGUGAGGAUGACGUCAAGUCAGCAUGCCCCCUUAUGCCUUGGGCUACACACGUGCUACAAUGGUUAAGACAAAGAGUUGCGAGCUCGUGAGAGUCAG
RNAcentral lists this ribosomal RNA (346 nucleotides) under uncultured bacterium. RNAcentral's name for it is "bacterial SSU rRNA". It matches the Rfam family "Bacterial small subunit ribosomal RNA", at positions 917 to 1267 of the family's 1533-position model. The record is from RNAcentral.